GACGAACGCUGGCGGCGUGCUUAACACAUGCAAGUCGAACGGAAAGGCCCUGCUAUUGUGGUAUGCUCGAGUGGCGAACGGGCGCGUAACACGAGAGUAACCUGCCCUUGCCUAUGGGAUAACUACAGGAAACUGGGGCUAAUACUAGUUAGGAGCUCCUUCUGCAUGGUGGGGGGUGGAAAGUUUCGGCGGUUGGGGAUGGACUCGCGGCUGCUCUGCUUGUUGGUGGGGUCGUGGAUUCACAAGGCUUUGACGGGUAGCCGGCCUGAGAGGGGGACCGGCCACAUGGGGACUGAGAUACGGGCCGGAGCCCUACGGGAGGCAGGAGUGGGGAAGAUUGCACGAUGGGCGGAAGUCUGAUGCAGCAACGCCGCGUGCGGGAUGGUGGCCUUCGGGUUGUAAACCGCUUUCUGCGGUGACGAAGCGUGAGUGACGGUAAUGGGUAAAGAAGCACCGGCUAACUACGUG
RNAcentral lists this ribosomal RNA (468 nucleotides) under uncultured bacterium. RNAcentral's name for it is "partial 16S ribosomal RNA". It matches the Rfam family "Bacterial small subunit ribosomal RNA", at positions 28 to 507 of the family's 1533-position model. The record is from RNAcentral.